ACCCCUCCACCAAAAUGUGACCACUGUCACAAGAAGGGUCACAUUAAAGAAAAUUGCUAGGAGAUAGUAGGAUUCCCAGCUAACUUUAAAGGAUUUAAAGGAAAGCAUAAUUCAGAAGCCAAAGGAAGACAGAAUGUAGUAAAUCAGGAGGCAGAGGCCCUCACAAAUGUGUCAAUGUUUUCCCCGGCUUCACACCUGAACAUUGCUCGAACUACUGAAGAAAGAUUCCCCCACUGAUGCACAUGCACUCAGUGGUUUUGAGUCAGUUCAUGCAACAGCCAAUGAAAUCACACUAGGUAGUAGCUGUGGGGGUCCUAAGAUAUCUAAAACAAUCACCAGGACUUGGGAUUAAGCUAAGCUUAAUGGGGACCUGAACUUAAAAUGCUUCUGUGAUUUAGAUUGACAAUCGUGCGAGACCACGUGUAGGUCAGUCACUGGUUAUCUUCUCAAAUUAGGAGAUACCCUUAUUAUCUGGAAAACAAAGAAGCAGGCGACAGUCUCAAGGUCUUUGGCUGAAGUUGAAUAUAGGGCUCUUGGUUCAGCUAUGUCAGAAGUCAUUUGGGUUAAAGGUCUGUUAUCUGAUUUAAGGAUUCCUAUAGAAGGUCCAGUGGAUGUAUAUUGUGACAGCAAAUCAGCCAUCCACAUUGCCACAGAUCCAGUAUUUCAUGAGAGGACAAAACAUAUUGAAAUAGAUUGCCACUUUGUUCAAGAGAAAGUGACAGAAGGAAUAGUGAAGUUUCAGUAUGUGUUUUCUACCAAUCAGGAGGCAGAUAUAUUAACAAAGCCAGUAGGAAAAGAGACUCAGUUACGGUUGCUUAGCAAGUUAGGAGCUUCCAAUUUAUUCAGCCCCAAACUUGAGAGGGAGUAUUGAGUUAUUGUAAUGUUUUGCUUUACUUUGGUUUGGGCCUAGGAAUUGUUUAGUUGAGCCCAUCUAGUGCAUUGGCCUAUAUAUAGACAGGCCCUGUUGUUUCAAACACAAUUUUUUCAGUCAAUAACAAAGAUGAAUUUAGUA
Molecule: long non-coding RNA, 1012 nt
Organism: Neltuma alba
Lineage: Eukaryota; Viridiplantae; Streptophyta; Magnoliopsida; Fabales; Fabaceae
Exons: 2
Source: RefSeq, a predicted model, not a curated record